ACCCGUUUCACCCAACACCACCUCAUCUUCCACACCACCUGUUGAAACCCCAAAACCAAGAUUCCGUCGCCAGAAAAUGCUAGAAAGAAAAACUGUUGCUAAUGGUUCCCUAAGGAAGACGUUGAAUGAAAAAUAAAAGUCCAGUAAAAAGAAAGAAGUCUCAUCAAAGGAGACCAACUCUAGCUCUGAAUCCGAUGACUACAUCUCUGCUAGUGAAGGAGAUGAACAUGGGUCUUCUGACACUGCCAAAAGUCAAAAAACCCCAGUAGAGGUAAAUACAUGCUUUGUUUUUUCUAAUGUAAUUCAAAGGGAUGAAAAUAGGUAUGUUCUGAUAGGGGCUGCAACAGAUGUUGUUGGGGCUAAUUCUGGGAAAAUGAGGAAGAAAAAUAAGAAGGAGAUUUUAGCUAUUGUAGGAAUGGGGAAGAGGGAGUCUCAAAGUCAGGGGAAAGUGUAUCAGGAGAAGCUGUUGAGGGUUUGGUUAAUCUGAGCAAAAAACAAGAUAAAUCUGGUUCAUUUGGGGAGAAGAGCUUGGCUGAUUUACUGAAGAAGGUAGGGUCCAUUUAUGACCCAAAAAACACAAGAUUUCCUCACAAAGGACCCCUACUGCGUCGAAUCCAACCAAGAAAAGCAAACCUUCAUCACCCAAGUCUAUUUUUAGGGUUAGAUCCACUAGAAGUAGGGAUUAGGGAGAGUGAAGCAGAGUUGAAGAAAACUUUAGAAGAGAGUAAGAAAAAGAGGAAAGAAAAAGGGAAAACAAAAUUAGGUGAAAGUUUUGAGGCUAUGGUUGAAGAGGAGGAAGAAGAGAUGGAAUUGGUCCAUCAAGAAAGGGGUACUACUGUGGAUGUUACCACUGCCAAAUCAAACGGAACCAGGACUUCUACCAAGAAGCCCUUAAACCCAGUGCCUGCUGAACCUGCUUUUUACAAGAGAACUAGGUCAGCUGCAUAAGGAAAAAAAGUAAAAAUAGCUGAAGAAGAGGAAGAAGAUCGGAGUGAAGAAGAAGAAGAGGAUGAGUGUUAAAAGGAACAGGACAGGUAUGCCAUGUUUGGCGGAAGAGAGAUCUUGAAGGGAAUACUUCUCAAAGACUUGGAUGAGCCAGACAUGAUGAGACUUGUGACUGCACUAGAAGCAUAGGGUGGAAGGACAUGUUCCUUCAGAUGGAUGGCAAAUUGGCCAGGAAAGAACUGGUUGAGUUCAUGACAAAUGGUACAGUGAAACAUGGACUGGUGACUAGCUUAAUUGAAGGAGUAAAAUUGAAGUUUAAUGCUGCUAAGCUGGGAAAGAUUUUGGACAUCCCUAGUGAGGGAUAUGAUGACUAUAAAAGGAACAGGUGGCCAUGUAUGUAUGGACUGCCUACUAAUCUUCAGAUCACUAGGAAUUUCUGUGUCACCAAAUCAGAAGAGGAGGUGCCUGAGGCCAGAGAAGUUCAGAAAAGUGAAAUGAGGCUAAAGUAUAAAGUGCGCUUCGAAUUUUUCUACAAAUACCUUCGACCGAGAUAUGAGAGAAGGCAUACAACAAAUUACAUGGAUCUGAUUCUCAUGCAAUGCAUGAAUGAAGGGAAGCAGAUCAACUGGCCUACCUUUAUUGUGAAGCUACUUGAAAGGGUGCUCAAAGGCUCAUGCCAUUCCCUAUGGAUUUAUUUUGACAACUGUGCUUGAAAGACUAAAUGUUUCCUUGAAGAAGUGAGAAAUGGCUUCCAGCAAAGAGCACUUUGGCAUCAAGACCCUUCAAGCUUGUGAUUAUCUUGCCUUCGUUGUGAAGCUUCUUGAAAGGGUGCUCAAAGGCUCAUGCCAUUCCCUAUCGAUUUAUCUUGACAACUGUGCUUGAAAGAUUGAAUGUUCCCUUGAAGAAGUGGGAAAUGGCUUCCAGCAAAGAGAGUUUUGGCAUCAAGAUCCUUCAAGCUUGUAAUUAUCUGCUCGGUACAUGCCCAAUUAAACUCGGUUCAUCUGUGAAGACUCCUGUGAACAACAAGGUCAGAGCCUUGGUUCUGGAGGUUGGGACAAGGGAUGCUGAGAUAACAAGGCUUCAUGCCAGAAUUGCUGAAUUAGAGGGAGAAAGGAAUGGGUUGAGAGCUGAACUUGCGAAGGAGAAUGAGAAAAAUGAGGAAUGCUCCAACAAAUGCUCAAUCUGCUACAAACACAACUCUCCAGCUCUUUUAAGCCUUAGGUGUCCUGUCCUAGUGUGAACCAAUCUAG
Molecule: long non-coding RNA, 2195 nt
Filed under: Nicotiana benthamiana
Lineage: Eukaryota; Viridiplantae; Streptophyta; Magnoliopsida; Solanales; Solanaceae
Description: long non-coding RNA (NBEN_LNC014056)
Source: RNAcentral